GCCUGUGAUGAUGCUUUAUUCAAGAAAUGCAUUUAUGCAUUCAUGUUGAAAACUCCAUUUUGACUAGGACGGUCUGAGGC
This 80-nucleotide small nucleolar RNA is filed under the name Erythranthe guttata (spotted monkey flower). Its description in RNAcentral is "Mimulus guttatus (spotted monkey flower) Small nucleolar RNA snoR20a". It matches the Rfam family "Small nucleolar RNA snoR20a". From Rfam's summary of the family: The O.sativum sequence was obtained from the plant snoRNA database. The record is from Rfam by way of RNAcentral. Lineage: Eukaryota; Viridiplantae; Streptophyta; Magnoliopsida; Lamiales; Phrymaceae.